GAUGAAGAACGCAGCGAAAUGCGAUACGUAAUGUGAAUUGCAGAAUUCAGUGAAUCAUCGAAUCUUUGAACGCAUAUUGCGCUCUUUGGUAUUCCGAAGAGCAUGCUUGUUUGAGUAUCAGUAAACACCUCAAAAGACUUUCAUUUUUGUAAUGAUUUUGGACUUGAGCAAUCCCAACACCAGUCUUCACGGAUCGGCGGAGGGUUGCUUGAAAUGCAGGUGCAGCUGGACAUUCUCCUGAGCUAACAGCAUAUCUAUUUAGUCCCGUCAAACGGAUUAUUACUUUUGCUGCAGCUAACAUAAAGGGAGUUUGACCAUUUUGGCUGACUGAUGCAGGAUUUCACAAGGGUCGGUAAAACGAUUUUUGUAAAACUCGAUCUCAAAUCAAGUAAGACUACCCGCUGAACUUAAGCAUAUCAAUAAGCGGAGGA
This 431-nucleotide unclassified non-coding RNA is filed under the name soil metagenome. RNAcentral's name for it is "partial contains 5.8S ribosomal RNA, internal transcribed spacer 2, and large subunit ribosomal RNA". The stretch from base 1 to 120 matches the Rfam family "5.8S ribosomal RNA", at positions 35 to 154 of the family's 154-position model. The record is from RNAcentral.